GGAAGGUUAAUUUUUUAAUUAAAAAGUUAAAAUAGAUUAAAAAGACGAGAAGACCCUAUAGAGUUUAAUAUUAAAUAUAGUUUAAAUUAUUUAUAAAAUUAUUAACUAAAAAUUUUAUUUAAUAUUUUAUUGGGGUGAUAAAAAAAUAAAAUGAACUUUUUUUGAAAAUAACCAUAAAUAAGUGAUAUAAUGAUCCAAUUUUAUUGAUUAAAAGAAAAAAUUACCUUAGGGAUAACAGCGUAAUUUUUUUUUUUAUUUCUUAUAAAAAAAAAAGUUUGCGACCUCGAUGUUGGAUCGGGAAAAAA
This 305-nucleotide ribosomal RNA is filed under the name Antheraea frithi. Its description in RNAcentral is "partial 16S ribosomal RNA". The record is from RNAcentral. Lineage: Eukaryota; Metazoa; Arthropoda; Insecta; Lepidoptera; Saturniidae.